RNAcentral lists this long non-coding RNA (7842 nucleotides) under Populus trichocarpa (black cottonwood). Its description in RNAcentral is "long non-coding RNA (PTRI_LNC003158)". Lineage: Eukaryota; Viridiplantae; Streptophyta; Magnoliopsida; Malpighiales; Salicaceae. The record is from RNAcentral.
UUUCAACAGGAAUCCGAAGUCAACAAAAUCAUGAAACAAAACCGGAACCAAGCCCAACAUAUCUCCUCUCAAGUUUCAAAACCCUUCUACAUUACAAGCAAACAUUGCAGCAGCAACUAUAACGAGUGAUCCAACCACAUUAUUAUGCAUAAACGUAACUGCGCUAGAUAUAUCCACAGGAGCAACAGGACUCUCUACAUUAGCAGAAGGAACCGCCUUAGUAGGUUUUUCUGCAGGUGCCUGUACUGGUGCUGGAGCUGGAGCAUUGGAUCCAAAAAUGUCCUUAGGAAGUAGCACCUUCUCGAUCUUAUAAAUGGCUAGCUGGUUGUCCGUGUAAACCGUGCCAGAUAAACUUGUAUUGGUAAGUCCUGUGGUUAUGUUCACCGAGUUUGGAUAACUUGUGACAUUAAGUGGUAACCUACUACCUGUUCCAGCCCAUGUUCCAAGAGGAUUACUUACGGUCUGGAACUGGGAAGUCGAUAGAAAUGUUGGAACUACGUGGAACUUCACCAACUCAGACUUGUCUCCAUCACUUAGAGUAUUGAGAGUUCCUGAUUUGAGUUCCGAAAAUGCACUAUCUGUGGGUGCAAAGAUGGUUAUACCAGUGUUGGAAUCAUUGAGCGCGGAGAACAAGUGGUUUUCCUCUUGGGUGGAUCUCAAAAGGCGGAUAAAGAUCGUGAAAUGGCCAGCCUUCUCAAGGAUUUUGGUGACGUUGGUGAUGCCGUGUGGUGCAGCAGCCUGUGUUGGGGUUGCGACUGGAGGUUGUGCUACGACUACUGCUGGUGCCUGUGCUGGGGCUGCUGUUGGUGACUGGGCAAAGGUAUUGAUAUAACACAGGGAAAGAAGAAGCAUUGAAAAUGAGAAGAUUGAGUACUGUUGCUUCAUCUUUAAGUUUCCACGGUAUAAUGCUAGAGAUAAUUAAAAAAUGCUAACGCAAAUUGAGUUCGAUCUUAGUUGGAAGUGUUUGAUGUCUGAAGAAGAGACAGAGUGAGCUUUUAUAGAAGUGGACAGAGGAUCAAACUAGGUGCAAUGUACGAGUUUAGUUAUACAACUUGGUUGCUAGUACCUAUUUUGCUCUGAAAGGUGGAGGGUCAUCAAUGGAUGGGUUUUUUAACAAUGCUGCAGCAACUACUUGGCUUGGAAAAGAAGGAAAAAAUUUCUAAAAAGCAGAUUUCCAGUGGUGUGACAGUAAAUAAAGAUGUCCAUGAUUGUCGAAAUUAUAUUUUAGAAUCAUCACUGUCAGAACAUUUGAGGAUACUUCUUAACUUAAAAAAAAAAAUCUUCUGUCAUGGCAGAAGAUUUGGACAAGCAAUCUUAACGGAACCAUCUUUCUAUAUCUAAAACAGCUAUGGCUCCUUCAGCAUAAUAGAAUGAAUCUUUACUUCCCUGAAUCCAUGACAGACAUCGAUAGACUAACUUUCCAAAUUUACACAGAAAUCAAAUCUCACCUAGACCAUCACUUAAAACAACACAAUCAAGCAACACCUACCUUAUGUACUUGAUUUGAUGUUCGUGGCAAGCCUUCUUUCAAGGUUUAUGCAAUCUCCAGGGGAGAUGCAUUUUAGGGCAGCAAAUAUGUCCUAAUACAUGUUAGGGGAACACUGAUUUUAGAGUAUGGUUUGAAGCUACUGCAGAUGCAGAAUUGACAGCCUACACAGAUGGUGAUUGGCUCGUUCAUUUGAUGAUAUGUAGAGCACAACAUGUUAUGAGUUCAAUUUCGGUUCAGGUGCAUUUUAUUGGAUGACCAACAAGCAAAAACAAUGGCACAAACCACUGCAGAAGCAGAGUACAUAGCUGCAGCAGCUACAGUGUGAAGCAACGACAAUUGAAAUUGAUAACAACUCAGCCAUUGCAAUUGUGAAAAAUCAUGCAAGUCAUGUCAAAACCAAGCAUAUCUAAGUGAAGUUCCAUUUAGUUCAUGAUGUAUAAAAAGCUAAUGAGGCGACCUUAAUCUACUGUGAAGCAGAAAAUCAACUUGAAGAUAUAUUCGUUAAAACUCUUUCUCAAGCCAGAUUUGAAUUUGUCAGGAACAAGCUUGGAUUAUCAAGAAGUCGUCUCAAGGAGGAAUGUCAUACCAAUUUUGAUACUUUUUCUACAUACUUAGUGCAUGUUCUGUAGCAAUCUACUGAUAUUUUGUAAAAAGUAUUGCUGAAGUAAACCUGCUGAAAAUCAUGUGAGGGCAGGUCCCAGUAGUCAAGGGGUGGUGUUGUGAUCCUUGGAUGGCAUUAGGUGGAGUUUUUCUUGAAAGAAAGUUAUAGUAAUCAAAUACUUCUGCGCAUAUAUAAAUGAUAAUGUCAGAUGUGGUAGUACGAAAAAACAAACCGGUUUACAAAAUCAGCAAAGCACUAUCAGUCUUGCUAUCUAUAAUUUCUCUGCUGCAAACAUUCUUGUUGGUCACAAAACCAGCAGUUAUGAAAUUGGAGAGAACCUGAACCUGAUGUUGGCUUAAACUGGAGAAAGAUUCAUUAAGAUAAAACUUUAAAGGCUCCAUUGUAAGCGCAAUGUGCAGGUUAUUUCACAUACAGAUUGGCAAAACUUCAAGUAAAUUAGCUGUACCAUGCAGAUCCAACUUCGAGCACUCAUUUUGUAACUCAAAAUCCUUGAGAUUGCUGAGAGAACUUCCAAAAAUAAACACCACUCAAUGCAAGCAUCUGCGUAUAAUAACAAACUUUCAUGAAAAGCUGUCAUCAAGAACAAUAUAAGUAUUAUCCUACAUUUGCACAAGCAACCAUCUGCAUAUAAUAAGACAAUAGCUCACUAGUUAUACAAAAUUCACAAUGAAAUAUCUGUUUUCACCGUUGUCCUACAAAAUGAAUGAAUUAAUGUGUAGCACUAGCUUAUCUCUAGCUUCAAAACAUCAAUACUUCAAGAAGAAGGAACGAAAAGAAAAGGAUUAUCUUAAUCCUGCAGGGCAGAGCAGUAAGGUGCUUCGCAUGAGCAAGUAACCCAAAACACUAAUCUCCAAUGCUUAAUAUGCUCUUUUCUGUCCAAUAAUGAAUACUUGUUUCAAUCAAACCUGAUAAAUCCUUGAAAUACUACCUACCUAGUACCUACCUUCAAUUGAAUCAUCUCCAACAGCCCACGAUUUGGACAAGUAACCUCAACCUCAAGUGAUGCAUUCUUUUUAGUGAAGGAACUAAGCUUUAGCUCCUGAAACUUUACAGAACAGAACUUUACAUUCUUCAUUCCUUACAACCUUCAACAGAUAAUCUUUUCAAAUAUACAAACACAGAAAUCAAAUCACCCACAAAUUUGAAGAAAACAUCAUUCAAGAAACACUGACCUCAGGGACCUAAGCCCCAAAGAGGCAAUUGGUUUAUCUAACCAAAAGCUAGGAAAUAAGUAGACGACACCAGGGUUACAGUGAGGAAAAAAAAUGAAAUUUGACAGAUCAAGUAUAUAUAUUGCAACUUGAACAAGAAAUUAAAUGAAACCUCAAAAUUCCAUCUUAACCACAAGCUCAAAUCAUACAAACUGGAUUCAAAGUAAAAUCUGAAUUAUUCAAAUUUCAACAGGAAUCCAAAGUCAACAAAAUCAUGAAACAAAACCGGAACCAAGCCCAACAUAUCUCCUCUCAAGUUUCAAAACCCUUCUACAUGACAAGCAAACAUUGCAGCAGCAACUAUAACGAGUGAUCCAACAACCACAUUAUUAUGCAUAAACGUAACUGCGCUAGAUAUAUCCACAGGAGCAACAGGACUCUCUACAUUAGCAGCAGGAACCGCCUUAGUAGGUUUUUCUCGUGCAGGUGCCUGUACUGGUGCUGGAGCUGGAGCAUUGGAUCCAAAAAUGUCCUUAGGAAGUAGCACCUUCUCGAUCUUAUAAAUGGCUAGCUGGUUGUCCGUGUAAACCGUGCCAGAUAAACUUGUAUUGGUAAGUCCUGUGGUUAUGUUCACCGAGUUUGGAUAACUUGUGACAUUAAGUGGUAACCUACUACCUGUUCCAGCCCAUGUUCCAAGAGGAUUACUUACAGUCUGAAACUGGGAAGUGGAUAGGAACGUUGGAACUACGUGGAACUUCACCAACUCAGACUUGUCGCCAUCACUUAGAGUAUUGAGAGUUCCUGAUUUGAGUUCCGAAAAUGCACUAUCUGUGGGUGCAAAGAUGGUUAAACCAGUGUUGGAAUCAUUGAGCGCGGAGAACAAGUGGUUUUCCUCUUGGGUGGAUCUCAAAAGGCGGAUAAAGAUCGUGAAGUGGCCAGCCUUCUCAAGUAUUUUGGUGACGUUGGUGAUGCCGUGUGGUGCAGCAGCCUGUGUUGGGGUUGCGACUGGAGGUUGUGCUACGACUACUGCUGGUGCCUGUGCUGGGGCUGCUGUUGGUGACUGGGCAAAGGUAUUGAUAUAACAAAGGGAAAGAAGGAGCAUUGAAAAUGAGAAGAUUGAGUGCUGUUGCUUCAUCCUUAUUUUUUUGGGAUAAAAUGCUCGAAACAAUUCAAAUAUACUAAUGCAAAUUGAUCUCAAUCAUAAAGUGUUUGAUGUGUAAAGAUGAGAUAGAGUGAGGUUUUUAUAGUAGUGGACAGAGGAUCAAGUUAGGUGCAAUAUACAAUUUUAGUUAUACAACUAGAUUGCUAGUACCUUAUCUCACUCCAAAAGCUGUAGGGUCAUCAAUGGAGAGGGAAAUUUAACAAUGCUGCAGCAACUACUUUCCUUGGAAAAGCAGGCAAAAAAAAAAGGUUCUAAAAGGUAGAUUUCAAGUGGCUGUGACAACAAAUAAAGAUGUCCAUGAUUGUGAAUCAUCACUAGCAGAACAGCUGAGCAUGCUUCUUAACAUCAAAACAAAUCAUCUAUAAUGACAGAAGAUUUAGACAAGCGAUCUAAACUGACCUUUGUAUCGUAAAUAGCCAAGUCUUUGCUCUUUUAGCUUAAAAGAACGAAUAUUUACAUCCUUAAUCCUUGACAGACAUUGAUAGAUCACUAAUUUUCUAGAUUCGCACGCUCAGAAAUCAAAUCUCACACCAGACCAUCACUUAACACAACUUCAUGAAGAAACACUUACCUUAUGUACAUGAGCCCGUAGAGGUCAUGCUAUUGAUAAAAGUGAUUUUGCAGUAUGCAAACGCAAGUCUUGAAACUUUAAGAUAGCCAUUUCGAAGUAAAAGGAAUUGUGUUCUUUUACAUGAUGUUGAAUGGCAUAAUAGUCUUUUAUUCAUGGAGAGGAUGAAAGAAAAGGCAAGGAGCAGAAAAUGUCUCAGUUGGUUACUGUCAUCCCCAGUGUUUUAUUUAUAGAAGGAAACAAACAUUACAGAAAAUGAAACACUAAAGAAACGUACUAGCUAUGUUCUCCUUUAUCAAAGGAGUUAUAUAACAAGCUAGUCUAAUCCUAGAUAAGCUUAAACAAAUGAAUUGAAAGAAACAUCCUAAUCUAGAUAAUGCUAUCAGCUAACAGAUAAAUAGCUAUCAGCUAACAAAUAGAUAACAAUGCAGUAGAUUACUACAAAGUAAUCCUGUUCCAGCUUUGGUACCAAACUUCAACACUCCUCCUUGGUUCCAAAGCUACACAUUCCAAUUCUUCCUCUCAGAUCUUCAAACAUGUUUCCUGUUUCUAGUUCAACUGCUGCUUUGAAUUUAACAAACUCAGCAAACACAUAAGAUUUUGAUUUGAGGCAAGGGAUUCUGUACUAGAGCUCAAGCCUUUUAUUCAUGUUAAACGUACUAGGAUGAAUGGAUCAUGCUUCCACCAAAACCAUGAUUUUCCUCCAUAAUGCAGCAAAUCAUAGAAGGGUUUUUCUGGCAGUCGUCUGUCACAUUCAGUUUAUGAAAAUUGUGAUAUAACCUCGACAAUUUUACUGAUUGGAAUCCACUUCCUCAAGCUUAAAGUAACAAUCCUAUGCUCUCUAACACUCUCUUUUCUCUAAUUAUCAACACCAGCAGUUUUGAAACAGGAGAAAAGAACUUAACCUGAUGUGGGAUUGCUUAAACUAGAGAAAAAUUCAUUCUGAGGAAACUUAAAAGGUUCCUGUGUGAGAGCAAUACAGCAGAUUUGUUCACAUUAAGUUUAGUAGAAGUUCAAGAGAUAACCUAGUAAAGGUAGUUCUGUUUCAGAAGCCUGAUUUCUUGAUAAUUAGCAUUUUCUACUCUUUUGCAUUAUGUUCAGCCUCGCAUUCAAAUGUUGUCAGCAGAACCAUAUAUAAUCUUACAGAUUAAAGAGAACAACAUUUUGAUUCCAACCACUUCAAAAACUUGUAAUGAAAUAUUUGCUUUCACCAUUGUCCUGCAACCUCCUUUUCCUUUCUCUCUACCCUCCUUAAUGCAUGCUUUGUCUUCCCUGAUCGUCAAAUAAUCAUCUCAAUCCAAUAACUUAAGUUAUUAGAUGAGAUUCCAAGAUAUGAUUUAUAUCAUUCUCUAACACACACCCCUCAAGUAAAAGUCAAUUAAGCUUGAAACUUGCACAUGCCCACACUAUCUUGUGCUUAAUUUUUAUCAAAUAAAUAGGGAUGGUGAGAUUCAAACUCAUGACUGUUUGGUCAUUAAAGUUCUGAUACCAUGUCAAAGAAUCAUCUCAUCUCAAUAGCUUAAGAUGUUAGGUAAGGUUCUAAGAUAUGAUUUAUAUUAUUCUCUAACACACCUCUUCAAGUGAAAGCCCUUUAGGCUUAAAACUUGUACAGGUCCGCACUACCUUGUACUUAAUUUUUAUCAAAUAAAUAGGGAUGGUGAGAUUUCAAGAUAUAAUUUAUAUAUUAUUCUCUAACAUAUCACUUCAAGUGAAAGGCCUUUGAACUUGAAACUUGCAUAGAUCCAUACUACCUUGUGCUUAAUUUUUAUCAAAUAAAUAGGGAUGGUGGGAUUCGAACUCAUGAUCGUUUGGUCAUCAAGACUCUGAUAUCAUGUCAAAGAACCAACUCAACUUAAUAACUUAAAUUGUUAAGUGAGGUUCUAAAAUUUUGAUUUAUAUUAUUCUCUAAUAAUAUCGUGAUAGUUUGCCCCGUGCUCACCCUUAUUAGCCGACAUCCCCAUAUCUCUGCAUCAGAAAAAUCUUCUUUCUGAGGGAAGUAAUCCGAUAAACCUUCCUCCAGAUCCAGUAAGUUAAUGUUCAAUAAAAAAACAUAGCAACAACUAGCAAGCAAAAACUACAACCUCUUAAUAUGACAUCUCAGCCGAAAAAUCUCCGAAACCUCCAAAAAUCUCACUCCAUUUACUCCUCCGAUAACUAGACUUCCAAGAAAUAGAACCACCAACACAACCACUAUUAUCUAAGAAACAGUUAGGGCAUGAUUCGAUGACACCAGGGUGAUCAUAAAAAAACAACAAAUGAAGUUUGACUAAUCAAGUACAUGUUUAGCAAUUUGAUCAAGAAAUUAAAUAAAACCUCGAAACCAUAACCUAAAAUCAUACAAACUGGAUUCAAAGUAAAAUCAGAAUUAUUCAACACACACCAAGCUUUCAAUCCAACUCAGAAAAUUUAGACGCUGCCGGACCCAACCCAGCUUAUCUCAUCUCGAGAUUCAAACCCUUUUACAUUAUAAAGCAAAGAUUGCAGCAGCAACUGCACCAACUGAUCCAACCACGUUAUUACGCGUGAACAUGACUGCGCCAGAUAUAUCCACUGGAGCAACAGGACUCUCAACAUUAGCUGCAGGAACUGCCUUAGUAGGCUUUUCUGGUGCGGGUGCUACUGGUGCUGGAGCUGGGGCCUUAGAAGCAAAAAUGUCCUUAGGAAGUAGCACCUUCUCAAUCUUAUAAAUGGCUAGCUGGUUGUCCGUGUAUACCGUGCCAGAUAAACUUGUAUUGGUAAGUCCUGUGGUUAUGUUCACCGAGUUUGGAUAACUUGUUACGUUAAGUGGUAACCUACUACCUGUUCCAGCCCAUGUUCCAAGAGGAUUACUUACAGUCUGAAACUGGGAAG